AGUAAUGGCGAAUGAAAGGAGAUGUGCUUAGUGUCAAAAUCAGAUUACUCUGACUUGUAGGCUGUAGGGGCUUUGCCAACUUGGGUGCAGGUGCAAGUCUCUUGGAAAGGAGCACCAGUGAGGGUCAAGGUCCCGUCUGGCAUCUGUCAUCCCUCGUAGACGGUUUGCCCAUUGAGAGUCGUGUUCUUCUGGAGUAGAGCGCUAAUUGGGUGGUACUCUUUGCCCAAGGAGGAUUACGUGCUUGAGACCAAUAGUGAACAAGUACCAUGAGGGAAGGGUGAAAAGGACUUUGGAAAGAGGGUUAAGAGGGCAUGAAGCUGCUGGAAGGGAAGUGGAUUGGACUUUUACAUCGCAGUAAGAUUGCAGGCUGUGAUUUCCACUUGUGGGACAUCGCGUGCUGUGUCUCUUGCUGCUCGGUUGGGUUUUGCGUUGUGCCCGAAAUCUCAGCUUUGACUGGAAGAAGGUUUGCGAACUGGACCAUGUCAUUGCCAUCUUUUGGCGCAGCAUGCAACCUUGACCAAAAGGUUCAAUUUUACCCGUCUUGAAACACGGACCAAGGAGUCUAUUGCGUGUGCAAGUGUAAGGGCUUCACACCUGACAGCUCAACAAAGGUGACUGCUGGGACCUCUGCACCAGCAACCAACUGAUCGCUUAGGAGAUGUUUGUGUAUGAGCACACUUGCUAGGACCCGAAAGGUGGUGAACUAUGCCUGAGAAGGGUGACGUCAGGGGAAACUCUGAUGGAAGCUCGUAGCGCUACUGACGUGCAAAUCGUUCGUCUGACUUGGGUAUA
RNAcentral lists this ribosomal RNA (792 nucleotides) under Amphidinium carterae. RNAcentral's name for it is "partial large subunit ribosomal RNA". It matches the Rfam family "Eukaryotic large subunit ribosomal RNA", at positions 82 to 919 of the family's 3401-position model. Lineage: Eukaryota; Dinophyceae; Amphidiniales; Amphidiniaceae. The record is from RNAcentral.